AACAGGAUUAGAUACCCUGGUAGUCCACGCCGUAAACGAUGUCGACUUGGAGGUUGUGCCCUUGAGGCGUGGCUUCCGGAGCUAACGCGUUAAGUCGACCGCCUGGGGAGUACGGCCGCAAGGUUAAAACUCAAAUGAAUUGACGGGGGCCCGCACAAGCGGUGGAGCAUGUGGUUUAAUUCGAUGCAACGCGAAGAACCUUACCUGGCCUUGACAUCCAGAGAACUUAGCAGAGAUGCUUUGGUGCCUUCGGGAACUCUGAGACAGGUGCUGCAUGGCUGUCGUCAGCUCGUGUUGUGAAAUGUUGGGUUAAGUCCCGCAACGAGCGCAACCCUUAUCCUUUGUUGCCAGCGGCUCGGCCGGGAACUCAAAGGAGACUGCCGGUGAUAAACCGGAGGAAGGUGGGGAUGACGUCAAGUCAUCAUGGCCCUUACGGCCAGGGCUACACACGUGCUACAAUGGCGCAUACAAAGAGAAGCGACCUCGCGAGAGCAAGCGGACCUCAUAAAGUGCGUCGUAGUCCGGAUUGGAGUCUGCAACUCGACUCCAUGAAGUCGGAAUCGCUAGUAAUCGUAGAUCAGAAUGUUACGGUGAAUACGUUCCCGGGCCUUGUACACACCGCCCGUCACACCAUGGGAGUGGGUUGCAAAAGAAGUAGGUAGCUUAACCUUCGGGAGGGCGCUUACCACUUUGUGAUUCAUGACUGGGGUGAAGUCGUAACAAGGUAACC
This 730-nucleotide ribosomal RNA is filed under the name uncultured bacterium. RNAcentral describes it as "bacterial SSU rRNA". It matches the Rfam family "Bacterial small subunit ribosomal RNA", at positions 771 to 1501 of the family's 1533-position model. The record is from RNAcentral.